Molecule: ribosomal RNA, 447 nt
Filed under: uncultured bacterium
Lineage: Bacteria
Description: bacterial SSU rRNA
Rfam family: Bacterial small subunit ribosomal RNA
Source: RNAcentral
UCGGGAAUUUUGGACAAUGGGCGCAAGCCUGAUCCAGCCAUGCCGCGUGAGUGAUGAAGGCCUUAGGGUUGUAAAGCUCUUUUGCCGGGGACGAUAAUGACGGUACCCGGAGAAUAUGUCCCGGCUAACUUCGUGCCAGCAGCCGCGGUAAUACGAAGGGGACUAGCGUUGUUCGGAAUCACUGGGCGUAAAGCGCACGUAGGCGGAUUUGUAAGUCAGGGGUGAAAUCCCGGGGCUCAACCUCGGAACUGCCUUUGAUACUGCGGAUCUCGAGUCCGAUAGAGGUGAGUGGAAUUCCUAGUGUAGAGGUGAAAUUCGUAGAUAUUAGGAAGAACACCGGUGGCGAAGGCGGCUCACUGGAUCGGUACUGACGCUGAGGUGCGAAAGCGUGGGGAGCAAACAGGAUUAGAUACCCUUGUAGUCCCUGAGCGGGCUGGCAAGGCGCAU